RNAcentral lists this long non-coding RNA (407 nucleotides) under Musa acuminata (dwarf banana). Its description in RNAcentral is "long non-coding RNA (MACU_LNC005555)". The record is from RNAcentral. Lineage: Eukaryota; Viridiplantae; Streptophyta; Magnoliopsida; Zingiberales; Musaceae.
GGAGGUCGAUGGACUCGGGGGCGUAGCGGUCGCGGUAGAUGUCGAAAUCGCGAAAGUUGAACUCCCAGACGUAGCGGACGGAGCCGCCGGCGCCGAGGUCGGGGAGGUUGCCGGCGGCGUCGGAGAGGGUGAGGCCCACCUGGAUGAGGUGGAGGGCGUCGACGUUGGCCUUGAGGAGGGCAUACCGUUCGGCGGGGCAGAGGAUGGCGGGGUGCUUCCGGGAGCGGUGGACGACGCCGGGGAACUCCGUGUCCAUGGCGGCGAAGGGGUGACACUCGACGGCCUCGCGGAUGAGGUCGAAUUCCGCCUCCAGGUUAUCGGCCCACACGGAGCGGACCUGGACCUCGAUCGGCUCUUUUGCAUCUUCCAAAGAAGGCAUCUUUUGGCCGCUAAUCUGCUUCGAUCCG